Macaca mulatta (Rhesus monkey) is the source of this 4291-nucleotide long non-coding RNA. NCBI's taxonomy places the organism in Eukaryota, Metazoa, Chordata, Mammalia, Primates, Cercopithecidae. The record is from Ensembl.
CGCGAGGAUCUGCGUGCCUGGCUUUGAUGCGGGGAUGCCCUUCGUAUGAUUAGACUGGAACUAAGUAGCCUGGAACAAACACCCUAAUCAGGGAGCAGGGAGCUCACGGAUGUCAGGAGAACAGGGCACGGUUUUCCACGGGAUGUGCCAAAACCAUGGUCAAAGGAAGUCAGCGAAGGCAAACUGUUUCUCACUUGGAGCUUGCCUCACUGUGAUGGCUCAUGAGGGACUCCCAAGAAGGCAGCCAACUCUGUGCAGUCCAUUCUGCAGGCCUGGAGUGCUGUUGGAUGAUCCUGAUGUCAAAGUGGGAGGUCCCUGUGGGAGGCGAGUGUGAGGGAAGUCAUCUCGGGUGGGUAAGUGGGUUUGCUAAUCAGGUUUCAAAGUGGAGAGAAGGGUGAGGGUGUAUCAGGGACCUUUAAAAAUUUAUACCCGGUCUGCCACUUAGAGGCACCUCUAAGAGGCACCAUCCUGGUGUCUUGGUGGGCUUCCUCUCUUGUUUCUUUCCCUGGCCUCUUAAGAACACGCACACCUGGGCAUGGUGGCUCAUGCCUGUAAUCCUAGCACUUUGGGAGGCUGAGGUGGGCGGAUCACUGAGGUCAGGAGUUUCAGACCAGCCAGGCCAAAAUGGUGAAACCUUGUCUCUACUAAAAAUACAAAACUUAGCUGGGGGUGGUGGCACGUGCCUGUAAUUCCAGCUACCUGGGAGGCUAAGGCAGGAGAAUCGCUGGCACCCGGAAGGCGGAGGCUGCAGUGAGACAAGAUCACCCCACUGCAGUUCAGCCUGGGUAACAGAGCGAGCCUCCAUCUCAAAAAAAAAAAAAAAAAAAAAAAAAGAGAAAAAAGAAAACACACACAUACGCACAACUUGAAGGUGACUGUGGGAGCCUGCCUGACUUAGGCUGAGUCCUGCAAAAUCCCACACAACGUGAAAGUAAAAUUGAGGCAGUUGUCAAUUAUUUAACGAACCUAAUGUGUUCUGACCCAGCGUUCCAGGCCAAGGUGUUCUGACCACACAAUGUCUGCAAGGUGGGGACAGUUGAUUACCAUCAUAUCGUCACUGUCACCAGCACAAGAGGACAACCCUGCAUCAGACAUGCCAUUGACCAGUGCAGUUCCCUUUGAUUUGUUCUCCUUCUUCCCAGCAUAGUUCCUGAACAUACAUGUCAAAUAAGUGUUUGUAAGUUCCAUGAAUUACAUAUUGAAAUUGUUAUCACUGCUAAGUCCACUAUAACAAACAAUACUGAUUAUAGAGCAGGAAUAUAUUUUGUAAUUAUAAUGUUCUUCAAACUUCUCUGAUCGACACACAGCAUAUUUAAACAGGGAUGAUCAAAAAUUAUGUGCACAGUGCGGUCCUUGUCUUCCCUUGGGCAGCACAAAAGCUCUCCUCAGUAGGUAACAGCCACCAGCCAGCCUUUGAGCAGCUGUGUCGAGAUGGAUUCAGUUUCUUUGCUGAGGGGGGGAUGCGGGGGAAGACACCCCUGCUUUUAAAUCAAAGACAAUUCAGUUUGGAGAAAGGUGUACCUUCUGGAAAUAAAUAAAAGGAGGCGCAGUGUAUUGUCAGCUGGCCGUCUUAAAUCAAUAAUGCAGGCAGUCUGUCUUGCAUGCCCAUUCUGUUGUGAGGGGGAGGAGCACCUGCCUAUAGGCUGGUCCCGAAAUAAAAGCCCUCGUCGGGAGAUGUCCAGGGGUGCAAGUGAGUCUUGCUCUGCUCUUCAAGGCCUUUCCGGAGCCAGGCUGGCAGUGUGCCUGUCAGGGGUCUGAGGAUGUUAAUGUCCUUUACAUCCAGAUCACAUCAAUCUGCGUCCAUUAUUUUACCAGGCAGGGACACCUGGAUGGGAAGCUCUAUUUUCUUUGAAUGGCCUCUGGCUUAUAAAACAAAACCAGCAAAGAGCACGUAAUCCCUUUGAGUAUUUGAGUUUUUGAGUGCCAGGUACUGUGAGAAGACUCUUGGUUGAAAAAAAAAAUUAAAAAAAAAAAAAAGGAAGGCAGCAUUUUUAAAUCAUCUUCUUUGUUUACAAAGUGGUGACAUUCAGUCUUGAAUCAAAGGGAACAGUUUCCAGGUAGAAAAGUCUCAUGUUUGUUUUCUGUCAGCUACCAACUACCAGCACGUCUUUCCUCCAAACUUUGUGCAAAAUCAACUUACCUUGAUUUAAGCCACAAAGAAAAAGACUUGGGGGUAGAAAGGGUGGGAAAGGGGGAAGCUUUUAAGAGAUUAUCCUUUUGGAGUCUUGAUAGAUUAAGAGGGUGAUCAAACUUGGCAGCAUCUUAAUAAUAGGGACACGUGAAUUUUGGCUAGGCUAAUGGAAGCUCUUUUGUCAAUUUCCUGUAACCGUGCUUGACAGGACUCAGGAAAUGGCACGACUGGCCCACCUUUGAUACCUAGAAGGGGCUUAAUGAGAUUUAAAGGUGCGGCACCAUGACUGGAGUUUCCCACAUUAGGUGUAAGUUACACAAAAAGUCCUUCUAUGUACCAGUCCCUUGCUGGCUUUGUCGCCUGCUUGCCGCAAUUCAGAAUGUGUUUUUUCUAUAGAAGUAACAGCUGAAAGCCGGGCAGCUGAGUUUCUGAACAGAAAUUGUUUUUCUAAAAAGACUUUUUUUUUUUUUGGUUUGGUUCCAUUCAGGACUGUGUCUCUGAAAUAUUAUCUAUCGUAAAAAACAUGACAUGAAUUUACCAUGGCAGUCAGCUGCAAUUUUUAAAUAUAUUCGUUAGGUUAGUGAGUAACGUCUUCCCUUCCCAAAAGACACGGAUGAAGAGCGGGAACAUCAGACUGUUAUGUCUUGGGGGUAGAUAAGUGGGCGAGGCCAUGCCAGGACAUGUGAGCCCAGAUGGGGCCCACACGUUUCUGAUGGAAUAUUUGAGCUGGAAGUAUUUAACGUGAAAGAUCCUGCCUCCAGGACCACUUGGUCAGCCGUAAAGGGGCUGGGAGUCAUGAUGUGUCCACAUAUGUUUGCUAUGUCAGACUGAGGGUGGAGCUGCCCAGGCAGGGUGUGGGGGUUACAAAGUCAGUCUUGCUAGCCUUUUAUUAUUGUGGCUCUUCGGGGGACCUCAAGGCAAGCUAAAAGGUUUGUCUCUGGCAGCUGUCCUGGUGAGGCUGUGCUGGAAUAGAAUAGACACCACUUAAAGUGGGUGGGAAAUGUCCUUAGACUCCUGUUCAUUUUGUUACCUGUCUGACCCUGUGGGCAUUGGGCUUGGUUCCCUGCAUGCAGGAAGCUCCUCUGCCAGCCAAAAGGCUAGAGAUCUUCCGCCACACCACCUUCUAAGCAUGACUCAGCUCCCUAGGAAGCUGCCAGCCAAGACUUGAAUGACCUUCCUAAGCUCUUUUUGAAUUCUGGCCCUUUUACUAAGGGUUAAAGAUGAACUUGACAUUACCAUGUCUCUUGCUCAUACUAAGUAAAACCUGAAAAUAUGACCCUGAACUUCUCCAGUCUGGUGGCCAUGGUACCCUGCCUUAUGACCAAGAAGAGAUCUUGAGAAGGGUGCUUCCAGCUUCCAAAUUGGGCAGCAAAAUGUUUACAUUCCCAAAAGGAUCAAGGCCUGAACUUCCUAGAAGCCAAGCUGACAAGCACAUGGAUUGAUAUUUAAAGGGGGCAAAGCUUCUAGGAAUAGUUAAAAUGAACUUUCAUGUGAUGCAGCAUCCAUAUUUUAGUUUAGAAUUGUCCACAGAUGCACUUAAGGAAUCAAUGAGAAUGAGUGGAACUGAUAGGCCUUGUGAGAGUUCAAGUUUUUUUGUUUUACCUCAUCUGCCUUAUAAGAAUGUAUGGUUUCUCUUUUUCCUGUCUUAUGCUUGUGAUUUAUAAAUAUCAGACUCCCUUUUGCCACCAUUGGCCUGGCAUCAGCCAACAUUUCUCCUAGGUAACCUGGGUUUUCCUUCCGUGGUAUUCAAGGUACCACUUGGGAGAAAUCAAAUAUAAACUGAUCUAUUUUAUAGAUAGGUGUGUAUUUUAAAAUGCUACCUGUUUAAAAUAUUUGCAAAUAGAAGUUAUUGAAAUGCUCACACAUGGCUCCUAAAAAUGUGUGAAGGGCCAGGUAAAGUUGGAGGUUGCAUAUUCAGGAGACCCAGGAGGAAGCUGGCUGGUGUGGCUUUGGGCCAGGGGCUGCUGGUUGCACCAGCUUUGAUGAAGACCAUCACAUGAGCUUGGCUUAAAUACCAGUGCCACAAUUUAGUAACUGUGUAACUUGGAAAAAUCAAUUAGUCCUUUCCGAGUGGUGGUGUCCUUAGCUAUGAAAUGGAGAUAAUACCAACCUUAUAAGAUUGCUUUGAGAGACUCUUAAAGUUUUGGCCAUGAAGCACAG